RNAcentral lists this ribosomal RNA (484 nucleotides) under uncultured bacterium. RNAcentral's name for it is "partial 16S ribosomal RNA". It matches the Rfam family "Bacterial small subunit ribosomal RNA", at positions 30 to 507 of the family's 1533-position model. The record is from RNAcentral.
AUUGAACGCUGGCGGCAGGCCUAACACAUGCAAGUCGAGCGGAUGAAGGGAGCUUGCUCCUGGAUUCAGCGGCGGGCGGGUGAGUAAUGCCUAGGAAUCUGCUUGGUAGUGGGGGAUAACGUCCGGAAACGGGCGCUAAUACCGCAUACGUCCUGCGGGUGAAAGUGGGGGAUCUUCGGACCUCACGCUCUCAGAUGAGCCUAGGUCGGAUUAGCUAGUUGGUGGGGUAAAGGCCUACCAAGGCGACGAUCCGUGACUGGUCGGAGAGGAGGAUCAGUCACACGGGAAGUUAGACAGGCUCAUGGCUCCUGAGGGAGGGAGCAGUGGGGAAUAUGGGACAACAGUCGAGAGUCUGAUCCAGCGGUGCGACGUGUGUGAAGAAGGUCUCCGGAUUGUGAAGAACGUUAUGUGGUGGGGAAGGGCAUUAAGUUAAGACCUUGCUGUUUUGACGUUACCAACAGAAGAAGCACCGGCUAACUUCGUG